This 481-nucleotide ribosomal RNA is filed under the name uncultured bacterium. Its description in RNAcentral is "bacterial SSU rRNA". It matches the Rfam family "Bacterial small subunit ribosomal RNA", at positions 29 to 507 of the family's 1533-position model. The record is from RNAcentral.
AUUGAACGCUGGCGGAAUGCUUUACACAUGCAAGUCGAACGGCAGCACGGGGGCAACCCUGGUGGCGAGUGGCGAACGGGUGAGUAAUGUAUCGGAACGUACCCCGUCGUGGGGGAUAACUCUCCGAAAGGAGAGCUAAUACCGCAUGCGACCUGAGGGUGAAAGCGGGGGACCUGCAAGGGCCUCGCGCGAUGGGAGCGGCCGAUAUCGGAUUAGCUAGUUGGUGAGGUAAAGGCUCACCAAGGCGACGAUCCGUAGCGGGUCUGAGAGGACGACCCGCCACACUGGAACUGAGACACGGUCCAGACUCCUACGGGAGGCAGCAGUGGGGAAUAUUGGUCAAUGGGCGAAAGCCUGAACCAGCCAUGCCGCGUGCAGGAAGACUGCCCUAUGGGUUGUAAACUGCUUUUAUACAGGAAGAAACACUCCCUCGUGAGGGAGCUUGACGGUACUGUAUGAAUAAGCACCGGCUAACUCCGUG